Molecule: ribosomal RNA, 1119 nt
Filed under: Moraxella sp.
Lineage: Bacteria; Pseudomonadati; Pseudomonadota; Gammaproteobacteria; Moraxellales; Moraxellaceae
Description: bacterial SSU rRNA
Rfam family: Bacterial small subunit ribosomal RNA
Source: RNAcentral
AUGCAGUCGAACGAUGACUAUCUAGCUUGCUAGCUAUGAUUAGUGGCGGACGGGUGAGUAACAUUUAGGAAUCUGCCUAGUAGUGGGGGAUAGCUCGGGGAAACUCGAAUUAAUACCGCAUACGACCUACGGGUGAAAGGGGGCGCAAGCUCUUGCUAUUAGAUGAGCCUAAAUCAGAUUAGCUAGUUGGUGGGGUAAAGGCCUACCAAGGCGACGAUCUGUAACUGGUCUGAGAGGAUGAUCAGUCACACCGGAACUGAGACACGGUCCGGACUCCUACGGGAGGCAGCAGUGGGGAAUAUUGGACAAUGGGGGCAACCCUGAUCCAGCCAUGCCGCGUGUGUGAAGAAGGCCUUUUGGUUGUAAAGCACUUUAAGCAGGGAGGAGAGGCUAAUGGUUAAUACCCAUUAGAUUAGACGUUACCUGCAGAAUAAGCACCGGCUAACUCUGUGCCAGCAGCCGCGGUAAUACAGAGGGUGCGAGCGUUAAUCGGAAUUACUGGGCGUAAAGCGAGUGUAGGUGGCUCAUUAAGUCACAUGUGAAAUCCCCGGGCUUAACCUGGGAACUGCAUGUGAUACUGGUGGUGCUAGAAUAUGUGAGAGGGAAGUAGAAUUCCAGGUGUAGCGGUGAAAUGCGUAGAGAUCUGGAGGAAUACCGAUGGCGAAGGCAGCUUCCUGGCAUAAUAUUGACACUGAGAUUCGAAAGCGUGGGUAGCAAACAGGAUUAGAUACCCUGGUAGUCCACGCCGUAAACGAUGUCUACUAGCCGUUGGGGUCCUUGAGACUUUAGUGGCGCAGUUAACGCGAUAAGUAGACCGCCUGGGGAGUACGGCCGCAAGGUUAAAACUCAAAUGAAUUGACGGGGGCCCGCACAAGCGGUGGAGCAUGUGGUUUAAUUCGAUGCAACGCGAAGAACCUUACCUGGUCUUGACAUAUUGAGAAUCCUGCAGAGAUGCGGGAGUGCCUUCGGGAAUUCACAUACGGGCUGCAUGGCUCGUCAGCUCCUUGUCGUGAGAUGUUGGGUUAAGUCCCGCAACGAGCGCAACCCUUUUCCUUAUUUGCCACCGGUUAAGCCGGAACUUUAAGGAUACUGCCAGUGACAAACUUGGAGGAAGGCGGG